AGCGUGGAUGCCUGGGGAGGGGUAGAGUGCGUAUCGGGAGGGGGGCUGACUGGUAUGACCCCUGCCGUGACCUCUCACCGUGUUUUCAGUAUCUUCAGCUCAAGAAGAAGUUAGAAGAUGAGUUCCCCGGCCGCCUGGACAUCGUGAGUCUUGGGAUGGGGAGAAAGACUUGAGCACAGCCACUGGGUCGGUCCGUUAGGCCUGGAUGGCACUGCAGGGGGGUUAGGUCGGCCCUACCCCCUUCACCCAUGUUCUCAUCCCCCUGGGAAGGGGAGGGGCUCCCCAAGAGGACAUCUCAGCCCCUUCAACAUCUCCCUACCCCCUUUCCUCAGUGCGGCGAGGGAACUCCCCAGGCCACCGGGUUCUUUGAAGUGAUGGUAGCCGGGAAGUUGAUUCACUCUAAGAAGAAAGGCGAUGGCUACGUGGACACAGAAAGCAAGUUUCUGAAGCUGGUGGCCGCCAUCAAAGCCGCCUUGGCUCAGGGCUAAUGCGCCCUGAAGGCAGAGGUGAGGGGCCCAUUAGACA
RNAcentral lists this small RNA (525 nucleotides) under Pongo abelii (Sumatran orangutan). RNAcentral's name for it is "retained intron". The record is from RNAcentral. Lineage: Eukaryota; Metazoa; Chordata; Mammalia; Primates; Hominidae.